RNAcentral lists this long non-coding RNA (836 nucleotides) under Homo sapiens (human). RNAcentral describes it as "HSALNT0318737". The record is from RNAcentral. Lineage: Eukaryota; Metazoa; Chordata; Mammalia; Primates; Hominidae.
UCGGGAGGCAUCAGUUCCGCAUCCCGCACUCCCACGUGAAUUUGCCCCCGCCCUGAGUCAGAACCCUAGAGGGGUGAAAUCCCUGAAUUCUGCAGAGGAAACCCAUACUUCUUUGCUUUUUCAGCAAUUCCAGGAGAUGUCGUUUUUCAAGUGGCAAAUGUGUGGCUCUAGAGGACAGAGUAACCACCUUGCAGCCAAGAAGCCCUGAUGUCAACUCCCAGCUCUGCUGCAGCACCCAGAAAUCACCGGACCUUUCUGCAUCUUUCUGGGUGACUCUGUCAUGAGGAUUUCAUAAUGUAAUUCCCUAGCACAUAAGAAUUUCUCAACCAAUAUGGCUUUCUUUUUUCCUUCUCACUAGUCUUUGAGCUUCUUAAAGGGAAGACAUGUCCUAUUCAUCUCUACACCCCCCACACCAGUCUGCAUUCAGUAAGUGCUCAAUCAAUGUCUGCUGAAUCACAUCUUCCCACUCAACUGCAUGGCCUCGGAUGAUCCAAUUCUGUGGGACUCAGGGUCUCCCUGAUUCUGAAGAUCUCCAUUUCAGCCACCCCAUCCUGGUGCUUUUUCUGGAGAGACUGGGAAAAAGGUCUUAUUGGCUGUGCAAACUUGAGGGAGUUGCCUAACCACUCUGGGCCCUGUUUUCCUGGCUUUGCCACUCUUCAGCUGUGUGACCCGGGGAAGCUCUCAACCUCUUUGUGCCUCCAUUUCCACAUCUGUAAAAUGGGGAUAUGAAAGUGGCUGCUUUGUGAAGAGUCCUGAGAAUAAAUGAGUUAAGGUAUGUAACACUCUGCCUGGUGCCUGGUACCCUGCAAAUGUCAACCAGUCAUUUAAUCAGCAUC